UACGGAGGGUGCGAGCGUUGUCCGGAAUCAUUGGGCGUAAAGGGCGCGUAGGUGGCUUCUUAAGCGUGCGGUGAAAGCCUGGGGCUCAACCCCGGGUCGGCCGUGCGAACUGGGGGGCUGGAGCACUGUAGAGGCAGGCGGAAUUCCGGGUGUAGCGGUGGAAUGCGUAGAGAUCCGGAAGAACACCAGUGGCGAAGGCGGCCCGCUGGGCAGUGGCUGACGCUGAGGCGCGACAGCGUGGGGAGCGAACAGG
Molecule: ribosomal RNA, 253 nt
Filed under: uncultured bacterium
Lineage: Bacteria
Description: partial 16S ribosomal RNA
Rfam family: Bacterial small subunit ribosomal RNA
Source: RNAcentral